This 527-nucleotide ribosomal RNA is filed under the name uncultured bacterium. Its description in RNAcentral is "bacterial SSU rRNA". It matches the Rfam family "Bacterial small subunit ribosomal RNA", at positions 8 to 518 of the family's 1533-position model. The record is from RNAcentral.
AGAGUUUGAUUCUGGCUCAGGAUGAACGCUAGCUACAGGCUUAACACAUGCAAGUCGAGGGGCAGCAUUGGAGUAGCAAUACUUCAGAUGGCGACCGGGCGCACGGGUGAGUAACACGUAUCCAACCUGCCGCUUUACUCGGGGAUAGCCUUUCGAAAGAAAGAUUAAUACCCGAUGGUAUAAAGAGUUCGCAUGUUCUCUUUAUUAAAGAAUUUCGGUAAGCGAUGGGGAUGCGUUCCAUUAGAUAGUUGGCGGGGUAACGGCCCACCAAGUCUACGAUGGAUAGGGGUUCUGAGAGGAAGGUCCCCCACAUUGGAACCUGAGACACGGUCCAAACUCCUACGGGAGGGCAGCAGUGAGGAAUAUUGGUCAAUGGACGAGAGUCUGAACCAGCCAAAAGGUUAGCGUGAAAGGAUGACUGCCCUAUGGGUUGUAAACUUCUUUUAUAAGGGAAUAAAGUGAGGGACGUGUCCCUUUUUGUAUGUACCUUAUGAAUAAGGAUCGGCUAACUCCGUGCCAGCCGCCGC